Molecule: ribosomal RNA, 468 nt
Filed under: uncultured bacterium
Lineage: Bacteria
Description: partial 16S ribosomal RNA
Rfam family: Bacterial small subunit ribosomal RNA
Source: RNAcentral
GACGAACGCUGGCGGCGUGCUUAACACAUGCAAGUCGAACGGAAAGGCCCUGCUUUUGUGGGGUGCUCGAGUGGCGAGCGGGUGAGUAACACGUGAGUAACCUGCCCUUGACUUUGGGAUAGCUUCAGGAAACUGGGGCUAAUACCGGAUAGGAGCUCCUGCUGCAUGGUGGGGGUUGGAAAGUUUCGGCGGUUGGGGAUGGACUCGCGGCUUAUCAGCUUGUUGGUGGGGUAGUGGCUUACCAAGGCUUUGACGGGUAGCCGGCCUGGGAGGGUGACCGGCCACAUUGGGACUGAGAUACGGCCCAGACUCCUACGGGAGGCAGCAGUGGGGAAUAUUGCACAAUGGGCGGAAGCCUGAUGCAGCAACGCCGCGUGCGGGAUGACGGCCUUCGGGUUGUAAACCGCUUUCGCCUGUGACGAAGCGUGAGUGACGGUAAUGGGUAAAGAAGCACCGGCUAACUACGUG